Molecule: non-coding RNA, 26 nt
Filed under: Homo sapiens (human)
Lineage: Eukaryota; Metazoa; Chordata; Mammalia; Primates; Hominidae
Source: RNAcentral
UCCAGGUUGUUGGCUGAAUCCAGUUC